RNAcentral lists this ribosomal RNA (429 nucleotides) under Bacteroidota bacterium. RNAcentral describes it as "Bacteroidetes bacterium partial 16S ribosomal RNA". It matches the Rfam family "Bacterial small subunit ribosomal RNA", at positions 355 to 776 of the family's 1533-position model. The record is from RNAcentral. Lineage: Bacteria; Pseudomonadati; Bacteroidota.
UAGGGAAUCUUCCGCAAUGGACGCAAGUCUGACGGAGCAACGCCGCGUGAGUGAAGAAGGAUUUCGGUUCGUAAAACUCUGUUGUUAGAGAAGAACAGCGCAUAGAGUAACUGUUAUGCGUGUGACGGUAUCUAACCAGAAAGCCACGGCUAACUACGUGCCAGCAGCCGCGGUAAUACGUAGGUGGCAAGCGUUGUCCGGAUUUAUUGGGCGUAAAGCGAGCGCAGGCGGUCAAUUAAGUCUGAUGUGAAAGCCCCCGGCUCAACCGGGGAGGGUCAUGGGAAACUGGUUGACUUGAGUGCAGAAGAGGAGAGUGGAAUUCCAUGUGUAACGGUGAAAUGCGUAGAUAUAUGGAGGAACACCAGUGGCGAAGGCGACUCUCUGGUCUGUAACUGACGCUGAGGUUCGAAAGCGUGGGUAGCAAACAGG